RNAcentral lists this transfer RNA (73 nucleotides) under Cyanidium caldarium. Its description in RNAcentral is "tRNA-Ala". It matches the Rfam family "tRNA". Rfam says of the family: Transfer RNA (tRNA) molecules are approximately 80 nucleotides in length. Lineage: Eukaryota; Rhodophyta; Bangiophyceae; Cyanidiales; Cyanidiaceae. The record is from RNAcentral.
UGGGGAUAUAGUUUAAUGGUAGAACUUAUGUUUUGCAUAUAUAUAGUAUUGGUUCAAAUCCAAUUAUCUCCAA